This 84-nucleotide transfer RNA is filed under the name Candidatus Aerophobota bacterium. RNAcentral's name for it is "Candidatus Aerophobetes bacterium tRNA-Leu". It matches the Rfam family "tRNA". Rfam says of the family: Transfer RNA (tRNA) molecules are approximately 80 nucleotides in length. Their secondary structure includes four short double-helical elements and three loops (D, anti-codon, and T loops). The record is from RNAcentral. Lineage: Bacteria; Candidatus Aerophobota.
GCCGAAGUGGCGGAAUUGGUAGACGCGCAUGACUCAGGAUCAUGCGAGGGAAACCUCAUGGGGGUUCGAAUCCCCCCUUCGGCA